GCAAAAUUCAAAUUUCUACCACAAUCUCUAAAGAAAAUUCUCACCUUACAAAGUAUUUUAUAAAAAAUUACCAAGAUUUAUUCAACCGCAAGGGCUAACACUCAGCUUUUUCAAGAAAUGAUAAUUCCAUGUCCCUUUUGCAUCAUGGAGAAGCAACAAAAACAUAGCAACCUACAUUCCCGAAUGACUAUGAGCUACUAACCCUUAAAAAUCAAUGUUUCAUAAUUGAUAAAGUAACUUUUAGUAGAAGUAACAAGCCUUUCAUAUAGUCAUAUAGCUGGUUUUUCUUCAAAAGCAUCAAAGUGCUAGCUUAUGGCAUAAUCCACCACUUUAGGUCAUAAAGCUUAGCCUAUUGAGGAUAAGCUCAAUAGGGCCUUAAAAAUUCUUUACCCCUUAACAUCGUUAGUAGGCUCAAAAGCAGCCACCCCAUAACGUUUUAGUUACUGAAACCUCUCAUAUAAUAUUUAUACAUUCUAUUUUAAAGCCAAAGAAAUUUAACAAAAAAUUUUACUGUUACUAAACAGGCAUUCUAUUAGUAUUAACAAAACCUAUUACCCAAUAAUCCUAAAAAAAUUUGGAUUAAAACACAAUUUUUUGCAUAAACUAUGCAAAGCGAACUCGGCAAAUCAGUUCCCUGCCUGUUUACCAAAAACAUCGUCUUUUGAUAAUCUCUCAUAAAAGAUAAUGCCUGCCCAGUGAAAUUUUAAACGGCCGCGUUAGCGUGAGCGUGCUAAGGUAGCGUAAUAAUUAGCCUUUUAAUUGGAGGCCAGUGAAUGGCAAGACUAGGAACACCUUUACUUUGCAUACAAAAAAAACUUUUCGUCUAAGCGAAAAGACUUAGAUGAUAAAGGUAGACGAAAAGACCCCGCGGAACUUUACCUUUUCCUGUACUACGACACAUCCGUCUAAAAGUAUUUAAGGUUUGAUUGGGGCAAUCUUGGAACCAACAAAGCUUCCAACUUACUUAAAAAAUCUAUAUAAAAUUUACUAAAGACCAAAAAGAAGUUACCCCGGGGAUAACAGCGUAAUCCAACUAAAGAGUACGUAUCGAAAGUUGGGUUUGCGACCUCGAUGUUGGCUUAAGGAUAUCCACAUUAGUGCAACCGCUAUGACAGGAUAGUCUGUUCGACUAUUAUACCCUUACACGAGCUGAGUUAAGACCGGCGCAAGCUAGGUUGGUUUCUAUCUCCUUUACUAAAAUUCUUCUUGAUUGUACGAAAGGACCCCAAGAGCUGCACCAUUAAAAAGCAUUCUUAAAUUUAAGUUUAUUUCAC
Molecule: ribosomal RNA, 1274 nt
Filed under: Anodonta exulcerata
Lineage: Eukaryota; Metazoa; Mollusca; Bivalvia; Unionida; Unionidae
Description: 16S ribosomal RNA
Rfam family: Archaeal large subunit ribosomal RNA (bases 846-1194)
Source: RNAcentral